Molecule: ribosomal RNA, 476 nt
Filed under: Bacillus altitudinis
Lineage: Bacteria; Bacillati; Bacillota; Bacilli; Caryophanales; Bacillaceae
Description: bacterial SSU rRNA
Rfam family: Bacterial small subunit ribosomal RNA
Source: RNAcentral
UGGCUCAGGACGAACGCUGGCGGCGUGCCUAAUACAUGCAAGUCGAGCGGACAGAAGGGAGCUUGCUCCCGGAUGUUAGCGGCGGACGGGUGAGUAACACGUGGGUAACCUGCCUGUAAGACUGGGAUAACUCCGGGAAACCGGAGCUAAUACCGGAUAGUUCCUUGAACCGCAUGGUUCAAGGAUGAAAGACGGUUUCGGCUGUCACUUACAGAUGGACCCGCGGCGCAUUAGCUAGUUGGUGAGGUAACGGCUCACCAAGGCGACGAUGCGUAGCCGACCUGAGAGGGUGAUCGGCCACACUGGGACUGAGACACGGCCCAGACUCCUACGGGAGGCAGCAGUAGGGAAUCUUCCGCAAUGGACGAAAGUCUGACGGAGCAACGCCGCGUGAGUGAUGAAGGUUUUCGGAUCGUAAAGCUCUGUUGUUAGGGAAGAACAAGUGCAAGAGUAACUGCUUGCACCUGACGGUACCU